RNAcentral lists this ribosomal RNA (1440 nucleotides) under uncultured bacterium. Its description in RNAcentral is "partial 16S ribosomal RNA". It matches the Rfam family "Bacterial small subunit ribosomal RNA". The record is from RNAcentral.
AUUGAACGCUGGGGGCGUGCUUAACACAUGCAAGUCGAACGUGAAAGUCCUUCGGGAUGAGUAAAGUGGCGCACGGGUGAGUAACGCGUGGAUAAUCUACCUUCAAGACGGGGAUAACGGUUGGAAACGGCCGCUAAUACCGGAUACGCUAUAUAUUAUAACGUUAUAUAGGAAAUGAUAGCCUCUGCUUGCAAGCUAUUGCUUGAAGAUGAGUCCGCGUCCCAUUAGCUAGUUGGUGAAAUAAAAGCNCACCAAGGCAACGANGGGNAGCCGNNCNAAGAGGANGANCGGCCACACUAAAACNGGAACACAAUCCACACUCCUACACAAACCAACACUAAAAAAUAUUACACAAUAAACAAAAACCUAACACAACAACACCACAUAAAAAAUAAAAUUCUUCCAAUCAUAAACCUCUAUCACAACACAACAACUCUAUCUAUUCAAAUAAAAUAAACAUUUAACAAUACCCUCAAAAAAAACACCAACUAACUCCAUACCAACAACCACAAUAAUACACAACAUACAAACAUUAAUCAAAAUUACUNAUCAUAAAACACACAUAAAUAAUUUUAUAAAUCAAAAACAAAAUCCCACCNCUCAACAAUANAACACCCUUUAAUACUCCAUCACUAAAAUAUCAAAAACACUCCNNAAAUUCCAAUNNUANNANUAAAAUCCNUACAUAUCUGGAAAAACACCACUAACAAAACCCUCCACCUCACAANAAACUNACACUNACUCCNNAAANCAUNNNAACCUUUAAGGAUUAGAUACCCUGGUAGUCCAUGCUGUAAACGAUGGGUGCUAGGUGCUGGGGAGAUAAAUUUUCAGUGCCGUAGUUAACGCGUUAAGCACCCCGCCUGGGGAGUACGGUCGCAAGGCUGAAACUCAAAGAAAUUGACGGGGGCCCGCACAAGCGGUGGAGUAUGUGGUUUAAUUCGAUGCAACGCGAAGAACCUUACCCAGGCUUGACAUCCAGGGGACCUCUAGGAAAUUAGAGGGUGCCCUUCGGGGAGCCCUGAGACAGGCGCUGCAUGGCUGUCGUCAGCUCGUGCCGUGAGGUGUUGGGUUAAGUCCCGCAACGAGCGCAACCCUUAUCUUUAGCUGCCAGCGAGUAAAGUUGGGCACUCUAGAGAGACUGCCCCGGUUAACGGGGAGGAAGGUGGGGACGACGUCAAGUCAUCAUGGCCCUUACGCCUGGGGCUACACACGUACUACAAUGGUGCGCACAAAGGGAAGCAAGACCGUGAGGUGGAGCCAAUCCCAAAAAACGCAUCUCAGUCCGGAUUGGAGUCUGCAACUCGACUCCAUGAAGUCGGAAUCGCUAGUAAUUCGAGAUCAGCAUGCUCGGGUGAAUGCGUUCCCGGGCCUUGUACACACCGCCCGUCACACCACGAAAGUUGGUUUUACCCGAAGCCGGCGAGCUAACGAGCAAUC